CAAAGGUUCUCUCAGUACGGUCGGAAAUCGUACGUAGAGUGUAAAGGCAAAAGAGAGCUUGAUUGCAAGACAUACAGGUCGAGCAAGGAUGAAAAUCGGACUUAGUGAUCCGGUGGUUCUGCGUGGAAGGGCCAUCGCUCAACGGAUAAAAGCUACCCUGGGGAUAACAGGCUUAUCUCCCCCAAGAGUCCACAUCGACGGGGCGGUUUGGCACCUCGAUGUCGGCUCAUCACAUCCUGGGGCUGUAGUAGGUCCCCAGGGUUGGGCUGUUCGCCCAUUAAAGGGGUACGCGAGCUGGGUUCAGAACGUCGUGAGACAGUUCGGUCCCUAUCCGUCGCAGGCGUAGGAAAUUUGAGAAGACCUGUCC
This 367-nucleotide ribosomal RNA is filed under the name Clostridioides difficile. RNAcentral describes it as "bacterial LSU rRNA". It matches the Rfam family "Bacterial large subunit ribosomal RNA", at positions 2311 to 2677 of the family's 2925-position model. Lineage: Bacteria; Bacillati; Bacillota; Clostridia; Peptostreptococcales; Peptostreptococcaceae. The record is from RNAcentral.